AUCGCUUCUCGGCCUUUUGGCUAAGAUCAAGUGUAUAAUACUUUCAACAAUAAAGAUAAAUUUUUUAAAAACACACCCCCC
RNAcentral lists this small nuclear RNA (81 nucleotides) under Myotis lucifugus (little brown bat). RNAcentral describes it as "U2 spliceosomal RNA". The record is from Rfam by way of RNAcentral. Lineage: Eukaryota; Metazoa; Chordata; Mammalia; Chiroptera; Vespertilionidae.